GCCUGGGUGGCUCAGUCGGUGAAGCGACCGACUCCGGCUCAGGUCCUGAUCCCACGGUUCGUGGGUUCGAGUCCCGCUUCGGGCU
Molecule: transfer RNA, 85 nt
Filed under: Felis catus (domestic cat)
Lineage: Eukaryota; Metazoa; Chordata; Mammalia; Carnivora; Felidae
Rfam family: tRNA
About the family: Transfer RNA (tRNA) molecules are approximately 80 nucleotides in length. Their secondary structure includes four short double-helical elements and three loops (D, anti-codon, and T loops). Further hydrogen bonds mediate the characteristic L-shaped molecular structure. tRNAs have two regions of fundamental functional importance: the anti-codon, which is responsible for specific mRNA codon recognition, and the 3' end, to which the tRNAs corresponding amino acid is attached (by aminoacyl-tRNA synthetases). tRNAs cope with the degeneracy of the genetic code in two manners: having more than one tRNA (with a specific anti-codon) for a particular amino acid; and 'wobble' base-pairing, i.e. permitting non-standard base-pairing at the 3rd anti-codon position.
Source: Rfam by way of RNAcentral